RNAcentral lists this ribosomal RNA (565 nucleotides) under Streptomyces sp. 419A05. RNAcentral's name for it is "bacterial SSU rRNA". It matches the Rfam family "Bacterial small subunit ribosomal RNA", at positions 93 to 671 of the family's 1533-position model. RNAcentral also lists the same sequence under 1 other name. Lineage: Bacteria; Bacillati; Actinomycetota; Actinomycetes; Kitasatosporales; Streptomycetaceae. The record is from RNAcentral.
CAGUGGCGAACGGGUGAGUAACACGUGGGCAAUCUGCCCUGCACUCUGGGACAACACCGGGAAACCGGUGCUAAUACCGGAUACGACGCACCCCGGCAUCGGGUGUGCGUGGAAAGCUCCGGCGGUGCAGGAUGAGCCCGCGGCCUAUCAGCUUGUUGGUGGGGUGAUGGCCUACCAAGGCGACGACGGGUAGCCGGCCUGAGAGGGCGACCGGCCACACUGGGACUGAGACACGGCCCAGACUCCUACGGGAGGCAGCAGUGGGGAAUAUUGCACAAUGGGCGAAAGCCUGAUGCAGCGACGCCGCGUGAGGGAUGAAGGCCUUCGGGUUGUAAACCUCUUUCAGCAGGGAAGAAGCGCAAGUGACGGUACCUGCAGAAGAAGCACCGGCUAACUACGUGCCAGCAGCCGCGGUAAUACGUAGGGUGCGAGCGUUGUCCGGAAUUAUUGGGCGUAAAGAGCUCGUAGGCGGCCUGUCGCGUCGGAUGUGAAAGCCCGGGGCUUAACCCCGGGUCUGCAUUCGAUACGGGCAGGCUAGAGUUCGGUAGGGGAGAUCGGAAUUCCU